CUGUCAAGAUGGACGGAAGUUGUAAGGAUGAUUGGACGGUUGAUUUAUAACUUUUAAAAACUAAUAGUGUCAUAAUAAUUCUUAAGCUUGUUCAUGUAAGAGAUUGGAAUAAGAUAUUUAAUUUUAAAACAACAAGACCUGUAUAGGUUCUAUAACCAACUUGUUCCCCAAGUGUCACGAGUCAUCUGUGUUUCACGGACUAUUGAUAAAUUUGACCCUUUCAUCAUGCUAAAUCCUUAGAAGCUGUUACUUGCUUUCAAAUACAAAAUUUUAUCCUGAGGAGAAUAGAUGAAACUUUGAGGCUAAGUCAGGAGAUGAAGUGUAUCAUUGGAAAACUAUCAUCCUGCAAAGAAUUUUAUGAAGUUUAAAUAGUAUCAUAUAUUAUUUCAAGACUUGCAUUUUUCGUAUAAAAUAUUUUAAUAAA
This is a long non-coding RNA of Limulus polyphemus (Atlantic horseshoe crab), 424 nucleotides long. RefSeq lists it as uncharacterized. The record is from RefSeq and is a predicted model, not a curated record. The transcript is spliced from 3 exons. NCBI's taxonomy places the organism in Eukaryota, Metazoa, Arthropoda, Merostomata, Xiphosura, Limulidae.